RNAcentral lists this ribosomal RNA (528 nucleotides) under uncultured bacterium. RNAcentral describes it as "bacterial SSU rRNA". It matches the Rfam family "Bacterial small subunit ribosomal RNA", at positions 777 to 1297 of the family's 1533-position model. The record is from RNAcentral.
AAUAGAUACCCCGGUAGUCCUAGCUGUAAACGAUGAGCACUGGGUUGAGGGGACUUCCACAUCCUCUCGGCCGUAGCGAAAGCGUUAAGUGCUCCGCCUGGGGAGUAUGGCCGCAAGGCUGAAACUCAAAGGAAUUGACGGGGGCUCACACAAGCGGUGGAGGAUGUGGCUUAAUUCGAGGCUACGCGAAGAACCUUAUCCUAGAUUUGACAUGGUUGAGAAUCUCCUUGAAAGAGGAGAGUGCCCUUCGGGGAGCUCUUUCACAGGUGCUGCAUGGCUGUCGUCAGCUCGUGUCGUGAGAUGUUGGGUUAAGUCCCUUAACGAGCGAAACCCUUAUCUUUAGUUGCCAGCGGGUCAAGCCGGGGACUCUAAAGAGACUGCCGGUGUCAAACCGGAGGAAGGUGGGGAUGACGUCAAGUCCUCAUGGCCUUUAUGUCUAGGGCUGCACACGUCCUACAAUGGCACGUACAAAGGGAAGCCGAAGCCGCGAGGCCGCGCUAAUCCCAAAAACGCGUGCCCCAGUUCGGA